AACAAACAUCCAUUUCUACCUCCCACCACAAGCGGACGUUAGGAACCCAUACCCCUUAAUGGUAGUAAAUCAAUCACCAAAUGUGCUUCUGUUGAUUCUGCACCUUUACCAGGGUAAGAGGUGGGAGUGGAGUGGAUGGGGGAGCCCCACCUGUCAAUCCUGUGCUGUGAGGACAGGAGUGCGUUUUCUUCCUGCCACUGUCACCUGGCAGCUCAGGGAUGUGAGAUUCUCCUCCAUUGCGUUUCUGCCCACGGAAAAAGAAGAGAGACCACACCUCAGUACCUUUGGAAAUAAAAGCAACCUGG
This is a long non-coding RNA of Mauremys mutica (yellowpond turtle), 305 nucleotides long. RefSeq lists it as uncharacterized. The record is from RefSeq and is a predicted model, not a curated record. The transcript is spliced from 3 exons. NCBI's taxonomy places the organism in Eukaryota, Metazoa, Chordata, Testudines, Geoemydidae.